GACGAAGGUGGCAACCGUUGUUCGGAAUCACUGGGCAUAAAGCGCACGUAGGCGGCAAGAAUAGUCAGGUGUGAAAGCCCUCGGCCUAACCGAGGAAUUGCGCUUGAAACUGCCUUGCUUGAGGAUCGGAGGGGAGCGUGGAAUUCCUGGUGGAGCGGUGAAAUGCGUUGAUAUCAGGAGGAACACCGGCGGCGAAGGCGACGCUCUGGCCGAUUUCUGACGCUGAGGUGCGAAAGCCAGGGGAGCAAACGGG
This 253-nucleotide ribosomal RNA is filed under the name uncultured bacterium. Its description in RNAcentral is "partial 16S ribosomal RNA". It matches the Rfam family "Bacterial small subunit ribosomal RNA", at positions 524 to 776 of the family's 1533-position model. The record is from RNAcentral.